CAGCCGUAAACGAUGCGCGUUAGGUGUAUCGACGACCACGAGUCGUCGAGGUGCCGAAGGGAAACCGUGAAACGUGCCGCCUGGGAAGUACGGUCGCAAGGCUGAAACUUAAAGGAAUUGGCGGGGGGAGGCACCACAACAGGUGGAGCCUGCGGUUUAAUUUGGACUCAACGCCGGAAAUACUCACCGGAUAAGACAGCAAUAUGUAGGCCAGGCUGAAGACCUUGCCUGAAUCGCUGAGAGGAGGUGCAUGGCGUAGACCGUCU
RNAcentral lists this ribosomal RNA (266 nucleotides) under uncultured archaeon. RNAcentral's name for it is "partial 16S ribosomal RNA". It matches the Rfam family "Archaeal small subunit ribosomal RNA", at positions 748 to 1010 of the family's 1478-position model. The record is from RNAcentral.